CGAAGCAACGCGAAGAACCUUACCUAAGCUUGACAUCCCAAUGACAUCUCCUUAAUCGGAGAGUUCCCUUCGGGGACAUUGGUGACAGGUGGUGCAUGGUUGUCGUCAGCUCGUGUCGUGAGAUGUUGGGUUAAGUCCCGCAACGAGCGCAACCCUUGUCUUUAGUUGCCAUCAUUAAGUUGGGCACUCUAGAGAGACUGCCAGGGAUAACCUGGAGGAAGGUGGGGAUGACGUCAAAUCAUCAUGCCCCUUAUGCUUAGGGCUACACACGUGCUACAAUGGGUAGUACAGAGGGUUGCCAAGCCGUAAGGUGGAGCUAAUCCCUUAAAGCUACUCUCAGUUCGGAUUGUAGGCUGAAACUCGCCUACAUGAAGCUGGAGUUACUAGUAAUCGCAGAUCAGAAUGCUGCGGUGAAUGCGUUCCCGGGUCUUGUACACACCGCCCGUCACACCACGGGAGUUGGAGACGCCCGAAGCCGAGUAUCUAACCUUUUGGAAGAAGUCGUCGAAGGUGGAAUCAAUAACUGGGGUGAAGUCGUAACAAGGUAGCCGUAUCGGAAGGUGCGGCUGGAUCACCUCCUUUCUAAGGA
Molecule: ribosomal RNA, 589 nt
Filed under: Clostridioides difficile
Lineage: Bacteria; Bacillati; Bacillota; Clostridia; Peptostreptococcales; Peptostreptococcaceae
Description: bacterial SSU rRNA
Rfam family: Bacterial small subunit ribosomal RNA
Source: RNAcentral